Molecule: small nuclear RNA, 22 nt
Filed under: Arabidopsis thaliana (thale cress)
Lineage: Eukaryota; Viridiplantae; Streptophyta; Magnoliopsida; Brassicales; Brassicaceae
Description: snRNA_02570
Source: RNAcentral
CUGACAGAAAGAGCAGUGAGCA